CAUUAAAUGACCGAAAGAAAGUAUUGAUCUUUUAAAUCAAUUAUAAUAGAAUUAAUCAUCUAUUUUUAAUGACC
Molecule: transfer RNA, 74 nt
Filed under: Dolichoderus sibiricus
Lineage: Eukaryota; Metazoa; Arthropoda; Insecta; Hymenoptera; Formicidae
Description: tRNA-Lys
Source: RNAcentral